RNAcentral lists this ribosomal RNA (2987 nucleotides) under Salmonella enterica subsp. enterica. Its description in RNAcentral is "23S ribosomal RNA". It matches the Rfam family "Bacterial large subunit ribosomal RNA". Lineage: Bacteria; Pseudomonadati; Pseudomonadota; Gammaproteobacteria; Enterobacterales; Enterobacteriaceae. RNAcentral also lists the same sequence under 1 other name. The record is from RNAcentral.
GGUUAAGCGACUAAGCGUACACGGUGGAUGCCCUGGCAGUCAGAGGCGAUGAAGGACGUGCUAAUCUGCGAUAAGCGCCGGUAAGGUGAUAUGAACCGUUAUAACCGGCGAUUUCCGAAUGGGGAAACCCAGUGUGAUUCGUCACACUAUCAUUAACUGAAUCCAUAGGUUAAUGAGGCGAACCGGGGGAACUGAAACAUCUAAGUACCCCGAGGAAAAGAAAUCAACCGAGAUUCCCCCAGUAGCGGCGAGCGAACGGGGAGGAGCCCAGAGCCUGAAUCAGCAUGUGUGUUAGUGGAAGCGUCUGGAAAGGCGCGCGAUACAGGGUGACAGCCCCGUACACAAAAGCGCAUGUGCUGUGAGCUCGAUGAGUAGGGCGGGACACGUGGUAUCCUGUCUGAAUAUGGGGGGACCAUCCUCCAAGGCUAAAUACUCCUGACUGACCGAUAGUGAACCAGUACCGUGAGGGAAAGGCGAAAAGAACCCCGGCGAGGGGAGUGAAAAAGAACCUGAAACCGUGUACGUACAAGCAGUGGGAGCACCCUUCGGGGUGUGACUGCGUACCUUUUGUAUAAUGGGUCAGCGACUUAUAUUCUGUAGCAAGGUUAACCGUAUAGGGGAGCCGGAGGGAAACCGAGUCUUAAUUGGGCGUUAAGUUGCAGGGUAUAGACCCGAAACCCGGUGAUCUAGCCAUGGGCAGGUUGAAGGUUGGGUAACACUAACUGGAGGACCGAACCGACUAAUGUUGAAAAAUUAGCGGAUGACCUGUGGCUGGGGGUGAAAGGCCAAUCAAACCGGGAGAUAGCUGGUUCUCCCCGAAAGCUAUUUAGGUAGCGCCUCGUGAAUUCAUCUCCGGGGGUAGAGCACUGUUUCGGCUAGGGGGCCAUCCCGGCUUACCAACCCGAUGCAAACUGCGAAUACCGGAGAAUGUUAUCACGGGAGACACACGGCGGGUGCUAACGUCCGUCGUGAAGAGGGAAACAACCCAGACCGCCAGCUAAGGUCCCAAAGUCAUGGUUAAGUGGGAAACGAUGUGGGAAGGCCCAGACAGCCAGGAUGUUGGCUUAGAAGCAGCCAUCAUUUAAAGAAAGCGUAAUAGCUCACUGGUCGAGUCGGCCUGCGCGGAAGAUGUAACGGGGCUAAACCAUGCACCGAAGCUGCGGCAGCGAACGUAUCACUUAAAGCGAUUCAGCGGGUUACGAUUGACGGAGCGAAGCGACGUCAAAGCGUAUACAAAGUCGAGUCGGUUUAAGGAUACGUUCGUUGGGUAGGGGAGCGUUCUGUAAGCCUGUGAAGGUGGCCUGUGAGGGUUGCUGGAGGUAUCAGAAGUGCGAAUGCUGACAUAAGUAACGAUAAAGCGGGUGAAAAGCCCGCUCGCCGGAAGACCAAGGGUUCCUGUCCAACGUUAAUCGGGGCAGGGUGAGUCGACCCCUAAGGCGAGGCCGAAAGGCGUAGUCGAUGGGAAACGGGUUAAUAUUCCCGUACUUGGUGUUACUGCGAAGGGGGGACGGAGAAGGCUAUGUUGGCCGGGCGACGGUUGUCCCGGUUUAAGCGUGUAGGUGUGUGUUCCAGGUAAAUCCGGUUCACUUUAACACUGAGGCGUGAUGACGAGGCACUACGGUGCUGAAGCAACAAAUGCCCUGCUUCCAGGAAAAGCCUCUAAGCAUCAGGUAACAUCAAAUCGUACCCCAAACCGACACAGGUGGUCAGGUAGAGAAUACCAAGGCGCUUGAGAGAACUCGGGUGAAGGAACUAGGCAAAAUGGUGCCGUAACUUCGGGAGAAGGCACGCUGACACGUAGGUGAAGUGAUUUACUCAUGGAGCUGAAGUCAGUCGAAGAUACCAGCUGGCUGCAACUGUUUAUUAAAAACACAGCACUGUGCAAACACGAAAGUGGACGUAUACGGUGUGACGCCUGCCCGGUGCCGGAAGGUUAAUUGAUGGGGUCAGCGCAAGCGAAGCUCCUGAUCGAAGCCCCGGUAAACGGCGGCCGUAACUAUAACGGUCCUAAGGUAGCGAAAUUCCUUGUCGGGUAAGUUCCGACCUGCACGAAUGGCGUAAUGAUGGCCAGGCUGUCUCCACCCGAGACUCAGUGAAAUUGAACUCGCUGUGAAGAUGCAGUGUACCCGCGGCAAGACGGAAAGACCCCGUGAACCUUUACUAUAGCUUGACACUGAACAUUGAGCCUUGAUGUGUAGGAUAGGUGGGAGGCUUUGAAGCGUGGACGCCAGUCUGCGUGGAGCCGACCUUGAAAUACCACCCUUUAAUGUUUGAUGUUCUAACGUGGACCCGUGAUCCGGGUUGCGGACAGUGUCUGGUGGGUAGUUUGACUGGGGCGGUCUCCUCCUAAAGAGUAACGGAGGAGCACGAAGGUUGGCUAAUCCUGGUCGGACAUCAGGAGGUUAGUGCAAUGGCAUAAGCCAGCUUGACUGCGAGCGUGACGGCGCGAGCAGGUGCGAAAGCAGGUCAUAGUGAUCCGGUGGUUCUGAAUGGAAGGGCCAUCGCUCAACGGAUAAAAGGUACUCCGGGGAUAACAGGCUGAUACCGCCCAAGAGUUCAUAUCGACGGCGGUGUUUGGCACCUCGAUGUCGGCUCAUCACAUCCUGGGGCUGAAGUAGGUCCCAAGGGUAUGGCUGUUCGCCAUUUAAAGUGGUACGCGAGCUGGGUUUAGAACGUCGUGAGACAGUUCGGUCCCUAUCUGCCGUGGGCGCUGGAGAACUGAGGGGGGCUGCUCCUAGUACGAGAGGACCGGAGUGGACGCAUCACUGGUGUUCGGGUUGUCAUGCCAAUGGCACUGCCCGGUAGCUAAAUGCGGAAGAGAUAAGUGCUGAAAGCAUCUAAGCACGAAACUUGCCCCGAGAUGAGUUCUCCCUGAGACUUAAAGUCUCCUGAAGGAACGUUGAAGACGACGACGUUGAUAGGCCGGGUGUGUAAGCGCAGCGAUGCGUUGAGCUAACCGGUACUAAUGAACCGUGAGGCUUAACCUU